CCCGGAGCGGACGGAGUCGGAGCUUCUUUCCCUCUCCCCCGUGGAGCUCUUGAAUAAAAUAAAAUUUAAAGAAGAAAAUCGCAGUCGGAGUUUAAAUUCGGGAGACAAAAGUGGUUUUUUUACUCGGCCAGAGGAAUAAAACAGGAUUUCCGCUGUAAGGCGCGAACCGGUUGAAGCGCAGUGAAGGACCGAGGUGAUGAGAGACGGAGCGGAGUCGGUGAAUCGGUUGCGGAGUCGUUUGGCAUGUUACAUCGCAUUUGGAGGUUUGAUUUGCAAUGGGUCGUCUCCACUAACACAACGCUACGUGUCAUGCCGCACUAGCAACGUCAGUGCUUGGACCCGCCAGUCGCUGCUCGCGUGCAUUCGUUGAACAUUCGUUAAUAAAAGAAAAAAAAAGAAGCUUGACACCACAAUCAGUCCUGAAGAGUUUCCUGUGGUGGAAAACCUACACACACUGGAGAAAAACCCAUACACACUGUAGAUUUGCCUUGUAGGAAUCUACAUUUAGUUACCAGGAUCUGAGGGAUGCAGUAACGUCGAUUGUGAUUGGCUGCAGACUUUUUAGUAGAAAUGAUGCCACACGUCAGACUUUUUUUAUUUUUAUGUAUAUAUAUAUAUAUAUCUGUUUAUAGUUAUGUUUAACGUUGUUCAUCCCUGUGCUAUCGUGGAACCAUUUCAGAAUAUCGGAACUUAAUAAAGUCAUUCGUAGCUACGACUGGCCAAUCCGUAUUGAAAAUUCACCAGUUACGAUGAUAGCUGUACGACGUCCACGCUAUACCGUAAGUCCUGCUUGUAGU
Molecule: long non-coding RNA, 797 nt
Organism: Ictalurus punctatus (channel catfish)
Lineage: Eukaryota; Metazoa; Chordata; Actinopteri; Siluriformes; Ictaluridae
Source: Ensembl